This 275-nucleotide unclassified non-coding RNA is filed under the name Hevea brasiliensis (rubber tree). The record is from RNAcentral. Lineage: Eukaryota; Viridiplantae; Streptophyta; Magnoliopsida; Malpighiales; Euphorbiaceae.
GAAAUAAGCAUGUAUCCAAUUCUAUAUAUUUUUUAGAAAGAAGAAAGCUAAUGAGGAGACAGAAAAAGAUGAGAAUUAAUGAAGAUGGCAAUGAGUCUAUUGUAAAAUAGGAAGAGAUACUUUUACUUUUGGGGAAAUUAUUAAGUGGAACGGUAGCAUGCUUCCUCCCACAUAUAUGGAGGUUUGUCUCACAUGGUGGGAUCCACUUCAUCUGUUAUAGCUUAAAAGUGAAAAAAUAGCCCCUCACUUGAAAGAUUUUCAUUUUCAAUUCAGAU